CCUACGGGUGGCAGCAGUGGGGAAUAUUGCACAAUGGGGGAAACCCUGAUGCAGCGACGCCGCGUGAGUGAGGAAGUAUUUCGGUAUGUAAAGCUCUAUCAGCAGGGAAGAAAAUGACGGUACCUGACUAAGAAGCCCCGGCUAACUACGUGCCAGCAGCCGCGGUAAUACGUAGGGGGCGAGCGUUAUCCGGAUUUAUUGGGUUUAAAGGGUGCGUAGGCGGUCCGGAAAGUCAGCGGUAAAAGCCCGGGGCUCAACCCCGGCGAGCCGUUGAAACUGUCGGACUAGAGACGGCGAGAAGUACGCGGAAUGCGCGGUGUAGCGGUGAAAUGCAUAGAUAUCGCGCAGAACUCCGAUUGCGAAGGCAGCGUACCGGCGCCGGACUGACGCUGAGGCACGAAAGCGUGGGUAUCGAACAGGAUUAGAUACCCUAGUAGUC
This 439-nucleotide ribosomal RNA is filed under the name uncultured bacterium. RNAcentral describes it as "partial 16S ribosomal RNA". It matches the Rfam family "Bacterial small subunit ribosomal RNA", at positions 338 to 795 of the family's 1533-position model. The record is from RNAcentral.